AUACAGCUAUCAUACCGAUCUCAUUAUUAUGGUGACUCAUCAGAAUCUUGCAUGCAUGCCUAGGUUUUACAGCCAUUGGGUGCCAUGAAAGGAGAAAUUUGUUUUGCCUGGCAGGCAUUGUCACUGACAAUGUGAGACAUGGGAUUAUUUUUGCUUCAUUUACUUUUUGUCAAACCUUGGUAAUGUUUCCUUUCCUCCACCUGUAUUUGCCAUCUGGCACCAUAACUUCGUCUCAGACCCAAACCCCUGUCAAAUCGAUGGCCUGGAGAACGUGGUCUGAAAAAGCGGUAACAGCAGAAUGACCCUGCCGGUGUGUGCGGCGAUAAGGAGAGAUCACCUGACCUGCUGUUCCCUCCUUUGGCCAGUGGGAUUUUGGCACACAGCUGAAUCGUUCCAUGACAUUCCUCAAGUUGUUUCAGAGCAGAGGUUCAAGACCUGCCUUAAUCCUAACUCUGCCUCCAGCCUUAAAAGUCUCAAGAGCUGAAACCAAACCAAACCAGCAGAACAUUGGUUUCUCUCUUCUUUUUUUUGGUAGGCUCAUUUUCAAGUACAGCUUAAUAGACGACGUCUGACUUUCCUUCUUUCUGAGGCUUUGGUAUGCCGUAACGGCAAUCAUUGAUAAUAAAACAGAUCAGUGAAACUAUUAGUUUCCAACAACUUAAUAUAUAGAAUCCUGUAAAAUACUACGGAGUACUUCAUCGUGGAUAGUGCUAUCAAUUAAAUAGUCGUGAUGGCUGCAUGUGUAGGCCAUGUAUAGGGAGGCAGUAUGUCUCUGAAUAUCAGUUGUUAAGGAACAACGGUGGGUAUAGGCUGUUGUUCUCAUGUCCUGCUUGUGGACACUGUGGGGAACAGGAUGCUAAUCAGAUAAGGCCUUUGGUCCGAUCCAUCAGGGCUCUCUUUAUGUUCUCUCUAGCAGUGGCCUCCCUUGAUAUACUGAUAUUGCUAGACUGUACCACUUAAGACUUCCGAUGAGGGAACUAAAUGUUUCCUUGCUCUCCCAGUGCUACAGUCUAUAUAAAAAACACACAUAUGCAUAUAGAACCAGCCUUGGCUAAUCAAACAAUCUAUGGUCUCGUAAGCUCUUGUGCAGGGGUCAGCAAACUUUUUCAGCAGGGGGCCGGUCCACUGUCCCUCAGACCUUGUGGGGGGCCAGACUAUUUUUUGGGGAAAUGAACGAAUUACUAUGCCCCACCAAUAACCCAGAGAUGCAUUUUAAAUAGAAGGAUACAUUCUACUCAUGUAAAAACACGCUGAAUCCCGGACCACCCGCGGUCCGGAUUUAGAAGGCGAUUGGGCAGGAUCCGGCUCCUGGGCCUUAGUUUGCCUACCCAUGCUUGUGUGUGUGUGAUUGUUUUUGUUUGUUACCAUGUUACAUAUUUUCGUGUUUUUAUCACCCUGUGAUCCUUGAAUGAUAGGCGGCAUAGAAAAUAAAUAAAGGGAGGCAGGAAGGCUACUUCAGCCAGCUUAGUCAGUCAAUUAAUGAGCAACGCCUUUAGUUUUUUUAGAACUAUAUGGACAUUUUAUAUCUCAGGGAAGUAAUGAUAUUGGGCCAUAGCAUACUUUUGCUUUUGAGUUUCAAGUCCUCAUGCUCAAGAUAGGUUGAGAAUCAUUGUAAUAGAUCUUAGAUCGUCUUAGAGUGCUUACACAUAGGCUGAUAUUUCUGGGUGCAAGAAUUCUUUUAUUCUCCUGAUGAAUCCUUUGCUGUUGUUUUUGGUUGGUUUCUAGUUAGUAUUAUUCUUGUGGGUAUUGCAUUCUUCAUCGUUCCUUUGGGUUUUGCAUUCUCUUUAAUUGUACAUAAGCUCAACAUGGUUUUAUUUUGUUUCCACAAAGACUUGAAUACAGAAUUUAUGAAGGUAAUCUUAUCCAUGCGGUUUGGCCCAGAUUCAGUUACUGUUGCAAGAGAAUUCAGAUUUUUUUGUUGUUCUUUGAUGUUCGCGGUGUGACUGGUGCAUUUUUAUCUGUGGCAUCACCGUAAAGGAAUACAAAUAAAUCUUGUUCACCUGGCCUUGCUAAUUGCAGCUCUCUUCACUGUUAACUGUUGUUUGAAAUUUGAACUCCUGGUGCUCUGAACCUGUGCCAAGAAGUGAAGGCUAUUGUUCACUUGGAAAUAGCAAGCCGUUUGACAAAAGGUCAACCUGCAGACUUCAGCACUAUUUAAAUUCUAUUCAUUAACUUCCUAAAGGAAGAUUACGUUCCAUGAAGAUGGUCUGGCACCAAAUGGAUAUUCCAUUAAUAAACACAC
Non-coding RNA from Podarcis lilfordi (Lilford's wall lizard), 2242 nucleotides. The record is from the annotation of a GenBank genome assembly. NCBI's taxonomy places the organism in Eukaryota, Metazoa, Chordata, Lepidosauria, Squamata, Lacertidae.